UUAAGCGACUAAGCGUACACGGUGGAUGCCCUGGCAGUCAGAGGCGAUGAAGGACGUGCUAAUCUGCGAUAAGCGUCGGUAAGGUGAUAUGAACCGUUAUAACCGGCGAUUUCCGAAUGGGGAAACCCAGUGUGUUUCGACACACUAUCAUUAACUGAAUCCAUAGGUUAAUGAGGCGAACCGGGGGAACUGAAACAUCUAAGUACCCCGAGGAAAAGAAAUCAACCGAGAUUCCCCCAGUAGCGGCGAGCGAACGGGGAGCAGCCCAGAGCCUGAAUCAGUGUGUGUGUUAGUGGAAGCGUCUGGAAAGGCGUGCGAUACAGGGUGACAGCCCCGUACACAAAAAUGCACAUAUUGUGAGCUCGAUGAGUAGGGCGGGACACGUGGUAUCCUGUCUGAAUAUGGGGGGACCAUCCUCCAAGGCUAAAUACUCCUGACUGACCGAUAGUGAACCAGUACCGUGAGGGAAAGGCGAAAAGAACCCCGGCGAGGGGAGUGAAAAAGAACCUGAAACCGUGUACGUACAAGCAGUGGGAGCACGCUUAGGCGUGUGACUGCGUACCUUUUGUAUAAUGGGUCAGCGACUUAUAUUCUGUAGCAAGGUUAACCGAAUAGGGGAGCCGAAGGGAAACCGAGUCUUAACUGGGCGUUAAGUUGCAGGGUAUAGACCCGAAACCCGGUGAUCUAGCCAUGGGCAGGUUGAAGGUUGGGUAACACUAACUGGAGGACCGAACCGACUAAUGUUGAAAAAUUAGCGGAUGACUUGUGGCUGGGGGUGAAAGGCCAAUCAAACCGGGAGAUAGCUGGUUCUCCCCGAAAGCUAUUUAGGUAGCGCCUCGUGAAUUCAUCUCCGGGGGUAGAGCACUGUUUCGGCAAGGGGGUCAUCCCGACUUACCAACCCGAUGCAAACUGCGAAUACCGGAGAAUGUUAUCACGGGAGACACACGGCGGGUGCUAACGUCCGUCGUGAAGAGGGAAACAACCCAGACCGCCAGCUAAGGUCCCAAAGUCAUGGUUAAGUGGGAAACGAUGUGGGAAGGCCCAGACAGCCAGGAUGUUGGCUUAGAAGCAGCCAUCAUUUAAAGAAAGCGUAAUAGCUCACUGGUCGAGUCGGCCUGCGCGGAAGAUGUAACGGGGCUAAACCAUGCACCGAAGCUGCGGCAGCGACGCUUAUGCGUUGUUGGGUAGGGGAGCGUUCUGUAAGCCUGUGAAGGUGUGCUGUGAGGCAUGCUGGAGGUAUCAGAAGUGCGAAUGCUGACAUAAGUAACGAUAAAGCGGGUGAAAAGCCCGCUCGCCGGAAGACCAAGGGUUCCUGUCCAACGUUAAUCGGGGCAGGGUGAGUCGACCCCUAAGGCGAGGCCGAAAGGCGUAGUCGAUGGGAAACAGGUUAAUAUUCCUGUACUUGGUGUUACUGCGAAGGGGGGACGGAGAAGGCUAUGUUGGCCGGGCGACGGUUGUCCCGGUUUAAGCGUGUAGGCUGGUUUUCCAGGCAAAUCCGGAAAAUCAAGGCUGAGGCGUGAUGACGAGGCACUACGGUGCUGAAGCAACAAAUGCCCUGCUUCCAGGAAAAGCCUCUAAGCAUCAGGUAACAUCAAAUCGUACCCCAAACCGACACAGGUGGUCAGGUAGAGAAUACCAAGGCGCUUGAGAGAACUCGGGUGAAGGAACUAGGCAAAAUGGUGCCGUAACUUCGGGAGAAGGCACGCUGAUAUGUAGGUGAAGUCCCUUGCGGAUGGAGCUGAAAUCAGUCGAAGAUACCAGCUGGCUGCAACUGUUUAUUAAAAACACAGCACUGUGCAAACACGAAAGUGGACGUAUACGGUGUGACGCCUGCCCGGUGCCGGAAGGUUAAUUGAUGGGGUCAGCGCAAGCGAAGCUCUUGAUCGAAGCCCCGGUAAACGGCGGCCGUAACUAUAACGGUCCUAAGGUAGCGAAAUUCCUUGUCGGGUAAGUUCCGACCUGCACGAAUGGCGUAAUGAUGGCCAGGCUGUCUCCACCCGAGACUCAGUGAAAUUGAACUCGCUGUGAAGAUGCAGUGUACCCGCGGCAAGACGGAAAGACCCCGUGAACCUUUACUAUAGCUUGACACUGAACAUUGAGCCUUGAUGUGUAGGAUAGGUGGGAGGCUUUGAAGUGUGGACGCCAGUCUGCAUGGAGCCGACCUUGAAAUACCACCCUUUAAUGUUUGAUGUUCUAACGUUGACCCGUAAUCCGGGUUGCGGACAGUGUCUGGUGGGUAGUUUGACUGGGGCGGUCUCCUCCUAAAGAGUAACGGAGGAGCACGAAGGUUGGCUAAUCCUGGUCGGACAUCAGGAGGUUAGUGCAAUGGCAUAAGCCAGCUUGACUGCGAGCGUGACGGCGCGAGCAGGUGCGAAAGCAGGUCAUAGUGAUCCGGUGGUUCUGAAUGGAAGGGCCAUCGCUCAACGGAUAAAAGGUACUCCGGGGAUAACAGGCUGAUACCGCCCAAGAGUUCAUAUCGACGGCGGUGUUUGGCACCUCGAUGUCGGCUCAUCACAUCCUGGGGCUGAAGUAGGUCCCAAGGGUAUGGCUGUUCGCCAUUUAAAGUGGUACGCGAGCUGGGUUUAGAACGUCGUGAGACAGUUCGGUCCCUAUCUGCCGUGGGCGCUGGAGAACUGAGGGGGGCUGCUCCUAGUACGAGAGGACCGGAGUGGACGCAUCACUGGUGUUCGGGUUGUCAUGCCAAUGGCACUGCCCGGUAGCUAAAUGCGGAAGAGAUAAGUGCUGAAAGCAUCUAAGCACGAAACUUGCCCCGAGAUGAGUUCUCCCUGACUCCUUGAGAGUCCUGAAGGAACGUUGAAGACGACGACGUUGAUAGGCCGGGUGUGUAAGCGCAGCGAUGCGUUGAGCUAACCGGUACUAAUGAACCGUGAGGCUUAACCUU
RNAcentral lists this ribosomal RNA (2902 nucleotides) under Escherichia coli. RNAcentral's name for it is "23S ribosomal RNA". It matches the Rfam family "Bacterial large subunit ribosomal RNA". The record is from RNAcentral. Lineage: Bacteria; Pseudomonadati; Pseudomonadota; Gammaproteobacteria; Enterobacterales; Enterobacteriaceae.